UAACACAUGCAAGUCGAACGGUUAAGCCACCUUCGGGUGGGAAUAAAGUGGCGAACGGCUGAGUAACACGUGGGCAACCUGCCCCUCGCACCGGGACAGCCUCGGGAAACCGUGGAUGAUACCGGAUACUCCGCCUCCCCCGCAUGGGGAGGGCGGGAAAGCCCAGACGGCGAGGGAUGGGCCCGCGGCCUGUUAGCUAGUUGGCGGGGCAGCGGCCCACCAAGGCGAUGAUGGGUAGCCGGGUUGAGAGACCGACCGGCCAGAUUGGGACUGAGACACGGCCCAGACUCCUACGGGAGGCAGCAGUGGGGAAUCUUGCACAAUGGGCGGAAGCCUGAUGCAGCGACGCCGCGUGCGGGACGAAGGCCUUCGGGCUGUAAACCGCUUUCAGCAGGGACGAGGCGAAAGUGACGGUACCUGCAGAAGAAGCCCCGGCUAACUACGUGCCAGCAGCCGCGGUUAUACGUAGGGGGCAAGCGUUAUCCGGAUUCAUUGGGCGUAAAGCGCGCGUAGGCGGCCAGCCUGGUCGGGAGUCAAAUCCGGGGGCUCAACCCCCGUCCGCUCCCGAUACCGGCCGGCUUGAGUCUGGCAGGGGAAGGCGGAAUUCCCGGUGUAGCGGUGGAAUGCGCAGAUAUCGGGAAGAACACCGGUGGCGAAGGCGGCCUUCUGGGCCACGACUGACGCUGAGGCGCGAAAGCUAGGGGAGCGAACAGGAUUAGAUACCCUGGUAGUCCUAGCCGUAAA
RNAcentral lists this ribosomal RNA (744 nucleotides) under uncultured bacterium. RNAcentral's name for it is "bacterial SSU rRNA". It matches the Rfam family "Bacterial small subunit ribosomal RNA", at positions 49 to 806 of the family's 1533-position model. The record is from RNAcentral.